RNAcentral lists this long non-coding RNA (3955 nucleotides) under Solanum tuberosum (potato). RNAcentral describes it as "long non-coding RNA (STUB_LNC010269)". The record is from RNAcentral. Lineage: Eukaryota; Viridiplantae; Streptophyta; Magnoliopsida; Solanales; Solanaceae.
GCAAGAAUGAGCAAGAAAAGCCAAAAAACAGAAGUGAUAUGUGGGGACUAUUUUGCCAAGGUCAAGAAGAUCAUGAAGCUUUUUGAAAAGACGUUUCUCCACAACAUCAGCAACUGGAAGAAAUGGAAAGGUCAAGUUACAACUUCAACAAAGAAAGGGCACUUCUCGGUGCUCGCUCUGGGGGUGAAUGCAGAGCCAAGGAAAUUCUCAUUGGCUUUAGAUUAUCUUUCUCAUCCUACUUUUAUCAAGUUACUAGAAGAAGCAGAAAGAGAAUUUGGAUAUUACCAGCAAGGCGUGAUAGUCAUACCAUGUGAAGCCAGUGAGAUCCAAAGACUUCUUUUACGCUGAGAUUGCCAUACAAUGCUGCAGUACAUAGGAGUUAAGAACCGUGUGCAACUAAAUGAAAAUAAGUACAGAAGGGUUUGAGGUACCGAAAAGUAAAAAAAUUGAUAACUACAAUGCACAUUGCAUGUAUGUGAGUUUGUGUUGCAUGAUUGUUUCAAAUAAACAAAAUGCAAAAACCAUGUAAGACUUGGAUGAAUCUAAAUCAUUAUUUGCAACUUUAAUCCUCGACCAUAUCAGCUGUAAACUGAAAUGGGGCUGCCAGACCCUGAAUUUUCCAUUAGACGCGUUGAAAGCAAAAUAUUUGUAGGAAAUUUAAUAUAGCUAACAGUAGAUCAUAGAAAAGGAACACACUUAGUUUUCUACCCUUCUGGCUUCACACCAAAUGCAUUUUGUUGGUGAUUAAAUUGUGGUUUGAGUAAAAACUUGGAGCUUCAUGUUUUGUGGUAAUAAACUGAAUUUAGCCUAUCUUAGGCUUUGUGUAGAUUGUUGCCUCAUUGAGUUUCACAAAUCAGUUGAGUAGGCAACUAAAACCAAUCACUAUAAUUCUAUAGAAAUAGUACAGUGACAUUAACUGGUGUAUUGAUAAGGCACUGAAUGAGAUAGAGUGCAGAGGGUGUCAAUAACGAAAUCAACAAAAGUAGUCAGUCAGUCAAGAAUGACACUGAAUCGUGAUUUAUAAACAACAUAAGAAAAGCCCUUCAAACGAAAUAUAUCAGAAAGAUUAUUCUGUCCAAGGAAAACUAGGAAGUCCAAUGAACCAUUUAUUCAGAAGCAGACAGUGGCAGAUAAGGCUGGUAGAUGUUUUGCACAAAAGAUCAUCUCUUAACCAUAAAGUAGUAAAUAUUACCAGUGUACAACCACAAUUUUAGGGCCUGAAUAACAAUAGCAUGAUUGAAAAUGUCUUUCUGCAGCAGAAAUCGGACGCAGUUCACAGUUGAUCAAAAAAUCUAAGUACUAUAACAUAUAAAAGCAUCCCGAUUAUUACAAAUGAUGCACCUAGUCUAGAUAUCCAGCAACAGUAACUGAGAGCACACAGAAUGGGAUAGAAAUCAGUUGAAUAAAACCAUUAGAAAUAUAUUCACGUUGCAGAAUUCAUUGCUGUUAAUACUUCAAAUACAAAAGAGGAAAGAGAUUAAAACUUCACAAGGUUUGAGAGAACACCACAAACAAUUAGCCUGGACAAGGCAACUUCAGCAAUUUAAUGAUGACAAAGGUUGUAAGGUUUGCAAGAAAUGCCAUAAGUAUAUUUUCUUCCGCAAAAUUAAUUGACGAUACUAGUGCCGCUGACAAAAGCAUAAUGAAGAAUCAAAUUAUCACUAUAUUUAUUAAUAUUCUUACUUCUUCCAGUUGGAUAACUCCAAGUGGCUGUGGGAUAUUUCUACCAAUUGGAGCUCUUGCCCAUGGGGAUGGUCUACACUGUUCAUAGUUGUCCUCUUACUACAAGUCGCUUACCUAGGCAAUGCUUAGACCCACUCAACCCGAACUUUUUUGGUUCAGUUCACCUGUACAUUCCCCAAUUGUCUGAUUGUUGCUAAGCAGUUUUGGGAUAUCAAACGGACCUCCCUCGGAAGCAUUUUAACAUUCCCCCUUUUGCAAUAAAUUUCGUCAGCACAUGUUGCUCUAGCUAAUUGUCCUAAGAAAUAUUUGAUUUGCAGAAAUAUUUACCACUUAUUAAACAAACUAUACCAUCACCUUAGAUCAACGAAUGGAGGAGUUUUACUCAUUGCCCACUAUACUUCAUUCCAGUUUCAUGAAUACAAUAGAACCCAAAAACUCUUUCUGUGAUCUAAGUGAUCACUGAUGAUCAUCAAGUAGCUAUGAUCUUGUCAAAUUUAAAACACAAGUUAAGCACCUACUAGAUUGGCAUAAUGACACUGGAAACAAUCGCCUAUAUCUGUUUAAUAGAAGCAGCAAGUGGUAGACUCGUGAAUCCAAAUUACAAGGUUAUCAAAACUGUGAAUGAACAGGCAGAAGGAGGGAAAACCAUAGGCAUUCAUGAAGAGUAGAUGACAGGGAUCAGUAUCAUAAGAGAAGCAUCAUAUUAUGUUGUACUCACAUCUCCUAAGGAAAAAAUGACUCAGUUUCAUGGGGAGACAUGGAUUCAGUUAUAAUCGCGAGGGUGGGGGGUAGGGGGAUGGCAGUCUGGCAGAAUUACAGUUAUACUAUUCCAAGCUGCACACUUCAGGAUGUUUAAAUGACAAGUUAAAUCAUUUGACAUGAGAAAGCCAAACACUAAGCUAUAAGUAAAAUGGCACAUCAACUUUUUUGAAGUAUAGAUAUUAUUAGUUGCAAUUUUGGUACUCAAAUUAGUGUUUCAUCUAUUCUUAGUCCACAAAUUAUUCUUGUCCCCAGUUUUACUUCCAAUUUGCAUGAAAAAGAAAAAGAAUCACAGUCAAUGACCUUAAAAAUUACAUGAUUCCGUUAGAAAUCCUUGAUAGUUUCCAUUUUUAUUCAUACUUCCUCCUUUUUCAUUUGUUUGAUAAGAUAAGGGAACAGAUCAGUAAUUGGAGAAUUAAACAACUAACCUCCAAAAAUGCUUUGCGCUACAUCAGACUUCAUCAUAGACUUGUGGCAUUCACAGGACAACUAUAGUUUGUCUGACUUCUAUCUAGCCUAGUUAAGUGUUGAUCUUCCUAACAGAAUAUGAAAGAACCCAUCAAGCAAGCCAUUCCAUCAACAAAUUUACAACUGAGUCAACUCCUGCUGGUUUUCCAUAGCUUGCCUAAGUAUCAGGUUUGCUCUCCUCUUCUUGUCAUUUUUCUCUUCAUCCCGCCUGAACCCCGAUGCUCUCUCUGAGAACUCUUGUUCUUAAGUCUCGGACCCAAAGAACCGCACAAGACUUUCUUACGGUCUUACCAGAUCUACACUCUAAACAUACAGCAUGCUUCUUAUCAGGAGGUUUUUCUCCAUGUCAUAUCCAGUUUCAGAAGGAUCAUCCUUCAUUGUCUCGAUUGCAGCAGAAAACAACUCCAGCAAAAAAAACAUGGAUUUUGUCCAUUUCAUUGUAAAGUUUAGCUCCAAUAGGAACUGCAGCCUAUAUCUUUUUCUCCCUUCCUUUGCUGUCUUUGGUAACUCAAUUUUACCAGCUUAAGGAUCAGAUACCCUCUCAUUCUAUGCAAAUGUGUGUAUGCAAGUAAACCGAUCAGGAAAUGAAGGCAGCCAUAAAGGUAAUCCUCUUGAGCUAAUUUCACAAACUCAACAAUAUCCGUGAUAAUACAAGAAUCCAAAUCCACAAUGAUUCACCUCUAAUGCACCUAUGAUCACAUAUGGACUUCACCAUUGAAAACCUUCAAUUCUAAACAUUUUCACAUAUCUGUACCACCGCAAUUCUCAAUAUUUUACCUUAAUUAAAAAAACCUAACUUUUCAGCUCAAACUUUGAGUUACUUAUACAACACAGAGUACCACUAACAAAAAACCUAAUUUGCAAUUGAAACACAAAAAGAAUCAAAAACUUAUUCAACAAACAAAAUACAAACCUGGAAAUCCCUCAAUUUUACGGUAUACACACAGAUUCGGGCCGGCGGAGUAAAUUGAAUUCCAAAAAAUGCAACAACUUUGAGAGCAAAAGAGAGAAGAUAUGUAAUUGCUGCAAAGAGGGAAGAUUAUCG